This 316-nucleotide long non-coding RNA is filed under the name Physcomitrium patens. RNAcentral describes it as "long non-coding RNA (PPAT_LNC008755)". The record is from RNAcentral. Lineage: Eukaryota; Viridiplantae; Streptophyta; Bryopsida; Funariales; Funariaceae.
GACUGCAACAAUGUAUCGUAAAUCUAUACGGAUGCUCUUCGACUGCUUGUCGAAGUCCUUUUUGCCCCAGUCGGUAGGUCUCUAGACGUUACAGAGAACCCCGAACAACCCAAAUUGUUAAUCUUCAAUACCGCUUUGUACUUACGAUCUUGUAUCCACUGACUAUCUUGUUAGAUUAACCCAAUAAAUUUCAUUCACUCCGCAUACUCAAUCCUAUAGACACCCUUUUAAUCCUUCAAUCACAGACGUAACUCGAUUUCACAAAACAGUCAAGAGUAUUUAAACCCACUUCAUUAAAAAUCCCGAUUCACCAUUA